Molecule: unclassified non-coding RNA, 1429 nt
Filed under: Hevea brasiliensis (rubber tree)
Lineage: Eukaryota; Viridiplantae; Streptophyta; Magnoliopsida; Malpighiales; Euphorbiaceae
Source: RNAcentral
GAUCCAUAGGAAUCCGCCCUACUUGAUCUGUUCAUAUUCACCAAUUUUGAAUCAGACCGAAACCGGGUCAUGACAUCCUUAUUCUUUUGUUCGUGUGGUGAGUCAGUAAACGGGGCAUUUUUGUAGUAAAUCGGACAUUCAAUCCAAGCCCAUGGGAGCCCGAUACGCAGCCGAAAUUGCGAAAUGUCAGUCUUGUAAUUUCAACUGGCCCGGACGAUAAAUUGCAUCUCUGCUAAUGGAAAUAGAAUCCUUAGGCUCUGGGGUUUUAGGGUUUUUCUGUGUUCGGACUGAUACUUUCUCUAUCUAUUCUUAUUUCCUACGCAAGAACAAACCAUGACUGCUGAGAUCCAGGAAGAGCUCGCUGCUCAGCUCGAAGCUCAAAAGAUUCUCGAGGUAAGCACUUCAUUCCCCACCUUCCCCACCGCCCCCCUCCCCCCCGGCCGGCCUCUUUCUCUCUCUCUCUUUGUAUGUGUAUGUGUUUGUGUACAUCUUUUGAUUAAUUUCUAGUGGGAUCUCAAGUUAUUUUUAUUCAUUUUUUAUACCAGGAUAGUGAUUGAUCUCUGGAUCAUUUCUUGUUCCUCUGUUUUUGUUAGAUCUAAUAUGAUAUUGUUACUUGUUCCUUAUUUUGGUUGCCCCGAUGUUAGUCUGGGAUUAGUGUUAAAGUGUAUUUUAAAAUUUCAAAAUUUUAAUUUCUUCAUUCUCCAAAUGGAACAAUUCCAUGUUUUUAUUCUAUUGUUGACGUGUUUUGCUUCAAACAUUAAGUUGAUAUUGGAAGUUUCGGUUUUGAGUUUACAGAUGAUAAAUGAAUGAGUUGUCUUCUUACAUGGCUUUUAUUUGUUAAAUUGUAUGUGAAUAGGGCCGCUAUAUGUCACAAAAUUCCUCUGGAAUUGUCAUAGUUAUGAUAGAAAACUUAAAUGGUGAUAAUAUGUGAAAGUUCUCUGCUUGUACACUUAAAGUGAUUUACUUCUUGUGAUGUCUUUUGAUCUUUCAAAUUCUAAUUGUGGGCAUUUAGCUUCAUGUAGUUGCACACUGUGUUCUUAGUCUUAAAUAUUUUCUUCCUUUGAUUGGUUGAAGUCACCAAGUUGAAAAACUAUUUUCUAUUUUCAAUUAUCUUGUGAAGUCUGUAUAUGGAAUCUGCUUUAGCUGAUAAUCACCCUUCUUGUCGUUUACUUAGAGAACUGUGGUGAUUGUAGUAGUAUUGCUCAAAUCUGUUUUGUAUCAGUUAUUUCGGUACUGUGCAUAACAGGGGCAACAAUGCUGAUAGCUGUCAAAUUCUCAUGAUAUAGAACACUAUUAUACUGCUUCAUUCUACCAUACUGUUCUUUCAUCUAUGGGCUACUAAUAGCAAUCUUUACAUUGUUAUUUCAUCAAGUCUGAUAAGCCUGUGGUUGAGGAUGUGGUCGAGGAUGAAGAUGAUGAUGAGGAUGAC